This 274-nucleotide ribosomal RNA is filed under the name uncultured bacterium. RNAcentral describes it as "partial 16S ribosomal RNA". It matches the Rfam family "Bacterial small subunit ribosomal RNA", at positions 523 to 796 of the family's 1533-position model. The record is from RNAcentral.
CUACGGAGGGGGCUAGCGUUGUUCGGAAUUACUGGGCGUAAAGCGCGCGUAGGCGGAUUGAUCAGUCAGGGGUGAAAUCCCGAGGCUUAACCUCGGAACUGCCUUUGAUACUGUCAAUCUUGAGUUCGAGAGAGGUGGGUGGAAUUCCUAGUGUAGAGGUGAAAUUCGUAGAUAUUAGGAAGAACACCAGUGGCGAAGGCGGCUCACUGGCUCGAUACUGACGCUGAGGUGCGAAAGCGUGGGGAGCAAACAGGAUUAGAAACCCCAGUAGUCC